RNAcentral lists this ribosomal RNA (208 nucleotides) under uncultured bacterium. Its description in RNAcentral is "partial 16S ribosomal RNA". It matches the Rfam family "Bacterial small subunit ribosomal RNA", at positions 568 to 774 of the family's 1533-position model. The record is from RNAcentral.
CGUGUAGGCGGCCUUUCAAGUCAGAUGUGAAAUCUCAGGGCUUGACCCUGAAACUGCAUUUGAAACUGGAGGGCUUGAGGACCGGAGAGGGCAGUGGAAUUCCCAGUGUAGCGGUGAAAUGCGUAGAUAUUGGGAAGAACACCAGUGGCGAAGGCGACUGCCUGGACGGCUCCUGACGCUGAGGCGCGAAAGCUAGGGGGAGCGAACG